AGUUUAGUUUGUAUUAUAGUAUUAUUGAUCAAAGGCUAGAAAAUUAACCAAAAUAAUAAAUUUACUAUUUAGUUUUGCCAAUUGUUAUUUUUUUUAUUUUCUGAAUUUAAUAAAUUUUAGAUAUUUCAUUUAUACAUUGCUUAACUGUUGAUCGUCCAAUAUACUUUUUUAAUCUUCCAUUUCGCCCUUCUAAUGAAACAAAUAAUUUUAAAUGUAUUUAAGAAUUGAUAAGUUCUCUUAUUGUAUUUAAUAUAUAUCAACAGUGUCAUUGAAUUCAAGCUGAGUCAACAUGAAUGUAGAAGCAAACAGGCUGAGUACCUUUAAUAACUGGCCUGCGUCAGCUCCCGUUGAUCCAAUAAGAAUAGCCCGAGCUGGUUUUUUCUACACUAGUAAUGGAACUGAGGUUGAAUGUUUUAGCUGUGGUGGAAAGAUUUCUGAGUGGAAUUACGGUGAUCAAGUUAUGGGGCGUCACCGUAUGAUGGAUCCUAAUUGUUCGUUUGUUGUAACACCCCAUCUAUCUGGAAAUGUUCCAUCUGUAGUUAAUCAAGCAUAUACCUUAAGAAAUGAAGAGAGUAGUACAUCAAGACCUGUAGAUAUAUCAGUUACCCCUAUGCAAUAUGAAUUAACUCAAGAUGAUCUAAUGUAUAGAAGUGAUGCACUAAGACUGCUUUCAUAUGUUAAUUGGGAUGACUCAUCUUUUUCACGAGAAGCAUUAGUGAAUGCUGGUUUUUAUCAUGCUGGCGGUGGGCGUCUGCGAUGUGCUUGGUGUGGUGGUGAAUUGGGAUCAUUAACUAAUAUGGGAUUAGAAUCACCUCUUGAAAUACACCAGAUGUAUUUCCCAAUGUGUGAAUUUGCAACUAGAAGAGCGAGGAUGGAUAAUGUUAAUAUAGAGAUAUCAGAAAACAUACAUGACUUACCAGAGUUCAGAGUUGAUAUUCCCCAACCACAGGGCACAACACCUCUGCAUACAAGUGGAGCAGAACAUAAUGAGCAAGUAGUAGCAGCUGGGAGUACCUGGAGAGAUCUGGGAGUUGUUAGCGGAGGAGCUAGGCAUCCUACAAAAGCCUCUUUGGCAGCCCGAAUGGCAAGUUUUGAUUGCAACUGGCCCCAAGAUCGGCCUCAAGCACCUUGUUCAUUAGCUGAAGCUGGUUUUUUCUAUACUGGGUUAGAGGAUCAGGUUCGUUGUUUUUACUGUGACGGUGGUCUGGGCAAAUGGGAGGCGGGCGAUAUACCGUGGCGAGAGCACGCGCGUUGGUUUCCACAGUGCGGAUACGUGUUACUCAUGAAGGGGCAGCAGUUUGUUGAUACGGCCCGUAGCAGUAACUCACGACGUACGGUGUCAUCAGCUGAACGUGGCGUACUAACUUCAGGACCUCGCAAUGCUUCUAUAAACUUUCCGGUCACUGAGAGUCAGAUAGAGAAUUGUAUGGAAAGCAAUGCGGCGGCGGAUGCCCUUGGAGCCGGUUUGGAUGCAGCGCGAGUCAGACGGGCCAUUGUUAGACGGUUGCAGGCCACAGGAUCGCCAUUUCCCAAUUCCGAGUCGUUGAUAGAUGCUGUUCUGGAUGAUCAGUUGAACGAAGAAGCCUGGAGUACGGUGUCCAGUCAGCGCUUCGCUAGGGAUAUACUCGCUGAGACACUGCGGGUCUUUGAUACUAAUGCUAGGGCUCUACACCUGGAUGAAGACAGGUCCGAUAGUAGGCAGUCUUCCGAGAGCUCUUCAGCAUCACCCCUACCAGAACAGCCUCGACCAAUUAAACUAAUCAACUCAGAGAAGGAAAUGCCAAAGACACCAGUGGAAAAGAAAGAGAUGAGCUUGGAGGAAGAGAAUCGCCAGUUAAAGGAAGCCAGGCUUUGCAAAGUGUGUAUGGAUAAUGAGAUGUGUAUGCGCAGGUUAGCAUGGUAUUCCUGCCAUGCGGUCAUUUAGUGUCCUGUGGGAUGUGCAGUACGGCCCUAACAUCAUGCCCGUUAUGCCGUGCCGCGGUUAAGGCGCUCGUCAGGGCCUACUUCGCCUGACAACCCACCAGCACGAAUACCUUAUUUUGCCGACGCUACUUCAGCUUGCAACCAAACCACGAUAGCACAUUAUCGUUUUUAUUAAAAUAUUUAUUUUAAUAUAUGUGAUAGUUGAUAUUAAGUUUAUAAUUGUUUAAAAUGUUUGACAAAAUAUUUUAACGUGAAAUAUGGUCGUUUGUGGUCUGAUAUCUCGUAUACUAUAAGUAAUAAUGUAUGUAUCAUGUGAUUGGAGUCAAAGAAAAUUGUCGAAGUAUGGCGUACUAUAAAAAGUAUAAAAAUUAAUUAACUUUUUAUGUGUUAAAAAUUUGUUGGCAUUAAAAUCAUAUGAUUAAGAACAAAACUCCAGAUAAAAUAGUUUUUUUAACAAAGCAAAUAAUCUUUACGUACAUGAUAUUAAUUUUACUUAAGACUUUUGUCAGUAAACGUUCAUUUUACGGUAUAAUAUAUAUUUACUCAUUACAUUGUCAAAAUAUAUAACGUGUGUAUGUCGCAGUAAAGUAGUUAAAUCAGAGAGUUAAUUGAAUAUCUAGACAGUUAAUUAAAUGUCGAUAUUCAAUGAAGUCGCUAGCAUUUUGAUUAAAAUAAAGCAGCGUCGAAAACGUUUAACUAGCUGUAUGAGCGAAAGCCAGCGUUUUGAUUAAUAAUGUAAAACGAGACUCCGCCAUGAUUAUUUCAUUUAUUAUUAUUAUUUCGGUGUGAUCGUAAAGAACUGAGAGCUUUGAAAUUCCGUCUUUUGCUUUAUUGCAAAUGGUUAGGUUAGGUUAGUCUUGUUGCCUAAGAACGUUUAGGAAACUUGGUAAAACGUUUCGUUCACUCACUUGUCUGACGGAACUUUAGCGACUUCAUUGAAAAUCGAUCUUUAAUUAACUGUCUACAUAUUCAAUUAACUCUCUGAUUUAACUACUUUACUGCGACAUCUACUUAUAUUUUUAUUUGAAAUAAAAUUUCUUAAAUAUCUCCCAUUGCCAUUUUGGCAAUUCCCACAUUUUCUGUAGUAAUAAAUAAAUUAAAUGUCUCUGAUCGAAUCGUUAACUUUAUAUUGUAUUUUUGAUAAAUAUUCAAUGAAUCAUUUGAUACAUGUCAGUGACUAAUCAGAUUUGAUAAACAAUAGAUAUUCUUUUUUAAAAUUUCUCAAGUGUUGCCAUUUCUUAAAUUGAUUUUUUAAGCGUAACAUAUAGUCGAGACUUAUCGCUAAGUAUCUGUACCGUACGUCACGAAUUGGAUUUGACUUUCAGCUAAAUCUUGACUCCGAAUGGUAGGUCCAUUCAGAGUCGCUAUAGAAUUUCUGGUAGUUAAGAAUAAAUUUGAUAAAAUAAGCUGCUCAUAGACUUUACUAUUCCUAAAUAAAAUCGUAUACUAUUUUAAUAGGUGUUUACUUUAAGCGUUUCUAAAUGUUCGCGAAUAUUGCAAGUAUCUCCAUGUCGGAACGAACAAUGUUGGAAAUUUCUAAAAUAUGUAAUUUAAAAAAAUAUGUGAAGUUUCAUUUUUAAGAGUUCCUAACUCUAGAGCUAUAAAGUCAUUUUUCUGUAUGAUAUUUAAUUUUCAAAAAUGGUAAUAAUACUGUCUAGAGAUAUGUUUUGAAAUAUGAGAAAAAAGUAUUUUAUGGAAUGCUGAAAAGCAUGUCCGUCAAUUAAAUGUAAACUAUAGUACGAUCGACAAAUUAAGAUACUUGAUAAGAUAUUUUUUCGUAUCUGUAUUAAUUUAUCAUUCAAAUAUAUGUCGAAUAAGUAUGACAUGAGAAAAGAAUGUCCUUUGAAAUUACAUAAUGCCAAACACCGUCAAAAGCCCGUAGUGUCACCAAAUAAUAUAAAAAUACUAACAUUUUAGACAUUUUGGUUAUUUGCAAUUACACUGUAAACACAUUUAAUUGACAGUCUACCUAUAUAACAAAAAUUGUUUGAGUUUUUUUAAUAUUGGCCUAAAAUAAACUAGAUUUCUUGACAUUACUAUAUCAAUCAUGUAUAAAUACUUGGCGAAAAAUGCUCUAGUUAAUUAUAUUGAUACUUGUUUGUGAUAUGGUAUCGUUAUCAAUAAGCGGAUUGGAUUCAAAGUGAUUUCACUUUACAUAUACAAGAAGAAUAGAGCGGACAAAAUACUUAACUGUAAUACAAACCUUAUUACUUGUGUAUUAAAGCUGAUUUUUCAUUCUCAAAUAAGUUGGUGUUGACUGACUAAACGUUUUCCGAGGGUAAUAUGUAAAAACGAACUAAAGGGUAUUUUUCAGUAUAAAUAUUUUCAGUGAGAUUUUGUAUGUAAUGAAUUUGCUCUACACAUUGCGAAUUCACGAUAGCACAUUUACUUGGAAAUAUUUUUUUAUUCCGUUCCGCUUUUGUUGAUUCGUUUCAAAUGCAAUUUCAGUCAAGGUUUUCAGUAAUAAGUGUGUAGAGUAUAUUGUUAUUGUGUUAAGAUAAGGAUCUGACUUGGUCGAAAUAUAUUGGUGGACUGAAUUGUUCACAUAGUU
Molecule: RNA transcript, 4474 nt
Organism: Pieris brassicae (large cabbage white)
Lineage: Eukaryota; Metazoa; Arthropoda; Insecta; Lepidoptera; Pieridae
Gene: Diap2
Gene name: baculoviral IAP repeat-containing protein 2
Exons: 11
Source: RefSeq, a predicted model, not a curated record